This 260-nucleotide long non-coding RNA is filed under the name Brassica rapa (field mustard). RNAcentral describes it as "long non-coding RNA (BRAP_LNC002294)". The record is from RNAcentral. Lineage: Eukaryota; Viridiplantae; Streptophyta; Magnoliopsida; Brassicales; Brassicaceae.
GGAAGCCAACUUGGGUCGUUUGCCCGCUUCGUAGUUGGUAAAUUGUGUUAGAACUUGCGUUAAAAAUAGGGACGAUUCGACACUUGUAAAAUCGUUUUUUCUUUUAAUUGUCAAAUUUAUUUUGGAUCAUGAUUAGUCAUAAGUUAAAUUGGCUGAAAUAUUAUCAGCUUCCAUCCUUUAUAUCGUAAUGUUGAUCGGCUAUGGUUUUUUUUUUGUUUGCUGCAAUAUGCAUAGUUUUAUAAUCUGAGAAAAACGAUCUA